Molecule: unclassified non-coding RNA, 331 nt
Filed under: soil metagenome
Description: partial contains 5.8S ribosomal RNA, internal transcribed spacer 2, and large subunit ribosomal RNA
Rfam family: 5.8S ribosomal RNA (bases 1-120)
Source: RNAcentral
GAUGAAGAACGUAGCGAAAUGCGAUACGUAAUGUGAAUUGCAGAUUUCAGUGAAUCAUCGAAUCUUUGAACGCACAUUGCGCCCGCUAGUAUUCUGGCGGGCAUGCCUGUUCGAGCGUCAUUUCAACCAUCAAGCCCUAGGCUUGCGUUGGAGCCCUGCGGCUGCCGCAGGCUCCCAAAUCCAGUGGCGGGCUCGUCGUCGUACCGAGUGCAGUAAACAUCCUCGCUCAGGGAACGUGACGGGUUCUUGCCGUGAAACCCCCCACAUACCAAGGUUGACCUCGGAUCAGGUAGGAAUACCCGCUGAACUUAAGCAUACAAUAAGCGGAGGA